CCUACGGGGGACAGCAGUGGGGAAUAUUGGGCAAUGGGCGCAAGCCUGACCCAGCAACGCCGCGUGAAGGAAGAAGGCUUUCGGGUUGGAAACUUCUUUUCUCAGGGACGAAGCAAGUGACGGUACCGGAGGAAUAAGCAACGGCUAACGACGUGCCAGCAGCCGCGGUAAUACGUAGGUGGCACGCGUUAUCCGGAUUUACUGGGUGUAACGGGCGGGUAGGCGGGAAAGCAAGUCAGAGGUGAAAACCAUGGGCUCACCCUGUGGCCUGCAUUUGAAACUGUUUUUCUUGAGUACUGGAGAGGCAGCCGGAAUUCCUCGUGUAGCGGUGACAUGCGUAGAUAUUAGGAGGAACCCCAGUGGCGAAGGCGGUCUGCUGGACAGCACCUGACGCUGAGGCGCGAACGCGUGGGGAGCAAACAGGAUUAGCUACCCCGGUAGUC
Molecule: ribosomal RNA, 443 nt
Filed under: uncultured bacterium
Lineage: Bacteria
Description: partial 16S ribosomal RNA
Rfam family: Bacterial small subunit ribosomal RNA
Source: RNAcentral